Molecule: ribosomal RNA, 651 nt
Filed under: Blattabacterium punctulatus
Lineage: Bacteria; Pseudomonadati; Bacteroidota; Flavobacteriia; Flavobacteriales; Blattabacteriaceae
Description: bacterial LSU rRNA
Rfam family: Bacterial large subunit ribosomal RNA
Source: RNAcentral
GACCGAUAGUGAACCAGUACCGUGAGGGAAAGUGAAAACUACUUCGAAUAGAAUGGUGAAAUAGAUCCUGAAACCAUACGCUUACAAGCUGUCGGAGCCCUUUUAAUUUUAUUAUUAAGAGUAGGGUGACGACGUGCCUUUUGCAUAAUGAACCUACGAGUUAAUUUUUCCGGCAAGGUUAAGUAGUUCAGCUAUGGAGCCGUAGCGAAAGCGAGUCUGAAUAGGGCAUUUAGUCGGAAGAAUUAGACGCGAAACCGAGUGAUCUACCCAUGAGCAGGUUGAAGCUGUGGUAACACAUAGUGGAGGACCGAACCGGUUGACGUUGAAAAGUCUUCGGAUGACUUGUGGGUAGGGGUGAAAGGCUAAUCAAACUCGGAGAUAGCUCGUACUCCCCGAAAUGCAUUUAGGUGCAGCAUCGUGUUAAAUAUGACAGAGGUAGAGCUACUGAUUGGAUGAAGGGGUUUCAUCACCUACUAAUUCCUGAUAAACUCCGAAUGCUGUUAUUAUGUUUCACGGUAGUGAGGGCAUGGGUGCUAAGAUCCAUGUCCAAGAGGGAAACAACCCAGAUCAUCAGUUAAGGCCCCUAAGUAUAUAUUAAGUUGUAUAAACAAAGUUUAAUUACACACACUACGGAUGUUGGCUUAGAAGCAG